CCAUCACUCACUCCUUCCCAGAGGUUGGCCUGGUGGCUGACAGAGAGAGGGAGCCUUUCACUGCCCGCUGAGGCCCUAGAUCCCCACACUGGCUUCAUCCAUCCCAGUCAAGCAGUGAUCCUGGGAAGAUCCUGGGUGGCCAAGGAACUGGAUCAUAGAUGGCAGCAGUGAGCGAAAGGUGACCGGGAGGGCAGGCAGAAUUCUCAGCUGGGUCUGCCCCUGCUCUUUCUAUCCCCACCAGGGGAACCUAAUUAGGUAUGGUGGGAUGUUCUCUCUCCUCUACCCGUGAAGUUCUCUGUGUCUGGCAAGAGGAGAUGAAUGCAGCAUUUAUCAAGCUUUUUUGCUCUCUAGGCUGGGAUAGCUCCAUACUCUGACUUAUUAUUUUCUGCCUAUAACUUCUGGAGGGCUCAUGGAUGCAGUCUGUCAUGAGAAGCCCACUCUCACUGCAACUAAAAUUAAUGGAUGAUUUUUCUAGAAGAUGAACCAGUCUGGGCCUAGAAGAACAUUCUGCAUCUGAAGGGCACAGUGAGGAGGUGGUUGUCUACGAGCCAGAAAGAGAGUCCUCGUGAGAAAUUGACCAUGCCAGCACUUUGAUCUCGGACUUUUCGCCUCCAGAACUGGGAGAGAAUAAAUUUCUGUUGUUAACCCAGUCUAUGGUAUUUUGUUAUGGCAGCUUGAACUGACUAAUACAAUACGCUUGUAAAUCCUGCCUGUCUCCAUGGGUGCUUCCUUCCCAUCCGCCCGAGGCAAAGUCUGUUUAUGGAGUUUUCUGUCUCCUACGUUGGAAAGGCAAGCAAACAUUUCUCAAUAUCUGUAAAUAUUUUCCUUCUGUCCACCAUGGAACUAAAAUCCUUCAAAUACUUACCAUACCUCUAUCCUCUUUUAAAUCCACCUUCUACCAAUACAGUUAUGUCUAGAAAGAAUGUCUGCAAGCUUGUGCCAGUUUUCAUAUAUACAUAUGGCAAAGAGGUAUUUUUCUUCCUUCUUUUUUUGAGAAACCCAACCAGUUCUUCUCUCAUACUCUCUAGUAAAUUAUAAAUUCUUUGAAAGCAG
This 1053-nucleotide long non-coding RNA is filed under the name Equus asinus (donkey). Its description in RNAcentral is "lncRNA (ENSEASG00005035224.1)". The record is from RNAcentral. Lineage: Eukaryota; Metazoa; Chordata; Mammalia; Perissodactyla; Equidae.